Lycium barbarum (goji berry) is the source of this 5283-nucleotide long non-coding RNA. RefSeq lists it as uncharacterized. The record is from RefSeq and is a predicted model, not a curated record. The transcript has 3 exons. Lineage: Eukaryota; Viridiplantae; Streptophyta; Magnoliopsida; Solanales; Solanaceae.
UUUCAUAGACUCUUAGAUGUGUGAAACUACAACUUCUUUGAACCUUCUGAUUUGUGAAUUUGUGACCUUUCUAUUUCUAGCUGCUUUGUUUCCUCUGCGUAUUAGCUUUCCAUGUAGUGACUUUGCCCACAUGCUUAAUUUUCUUUUCAGAUCUCUCCUCCUCUACUGUGACUAUCUAUUUUUUGUUUGACCCUCUUUCUGAUCUUUCUGCAUUUGAUUCCUAUGUUGGUAUUUGCAUUUGCACUUCAUGAUUUUCUCAUUUCAUAUUCCUAAUCCUCAAAUGUGGUACAUGUGAUUUAUCACUAUUGAUGAUCCUCCUUUGUGCACUCUCCAAUUCCAUAAAAUUGUGGCACAUAAAAUUCCCUUUAUCUAGUGUAUGAUUACCUAGAGAAUCUGCUAAUGUGUUCCCAUCCCAUCAAAUAUGGGUAUACCUAACCUGAAUCCCUCUACUAAUUUCCCAAAUCUCCUUAUAUGACAUCCCGGUUUAAGAGGAAAGUCCCACAUCGGCAAAAUACAAGAAAGAAGUUGGGUAUAUAAGUAAGCAGCCCUUACACCCCAGUGACUCGCUUUAAAGACGUGCGGACCUAGGACCAAAGAGGACAAUAUUACUAGCGAAUUGGGUCAUUACAGAUGGUAUCAGAGUCACUCUUGUGUCAGCUUUUUUAUGGUGGGUCAAAGUUCAACUGAGUUUAGGCAAAUCCCGAGUAAGUGAAAUAAACCUCAGCGCUGAGUCUAGGAAAAUCCCAUGCAGUUGGGCAAACCUUGGCAAGGAUACUGAGUUCAUAAUAGGGGGGUGUAUGUGACAUCCCAACUUAGGAGGAAAGUCUCACAUCGGCAAAACACAAGAGAGACGCUAGGUAUAUAAAUAAAUAGGCCUUACAACCCUAGUGACGUGUUUUAAAGCCGUACGGGCCUAGGCCGAAAGUGGACAAUAUCACCAGCGAGUUGGGUCAUUACACCUCAAUCCACACAGCAAUGUUCCAAAGUGGCUUUUAUUCCUCUAAUAAAAUUUGUUAUACCAAUUUUUGAAUCAGUCUGAAUGAUUAUAUUUUUUAUCUGCUUAUUUUUUACAAAAUUCUAGAGAUUCACGAAUAGAAAUAGUCUCUAUCUCAGUAUUGGUUGAGUAACCAAACUCUUCUAAUUGGGGCAUAGAUUAGAUUUCCUUCUGAAUCUCUCAAACAAAAACCAUAUGAGCAAAAAAUGUGUUUUGAACGUUAUACCCUAAACCCUAAAUCCUAAACCCUAAACCCGUGUGAUACUUCACAUGUAUUUGGUCUUUUCUUGAAUGGUAAUAAUUAUAUUCGUAAACGACACAAAAGUAGGUGAAGAAUUUUUUGUAAAAGUCACAAAAAAAAGUAUAUCCCCCUUCUAAUAUUAGAGGAACUCUAUAAUUCUAGUGAAUUUCGGACUCAUUUGCAUAUUCCUUCUUACACGAAAAGUGAAAUAACAAGAUACAAUCUUAAUCCUCUCAAUUGACUUUUGCUUAUCUUCAAAACAUCUACAAAUCACCCACCACAUUCAAGGAGGAGUUGUAUGCCACCAAUUAUUUCUUACUUUGUUCCAACUCUUGCCUAUACCAAUAACUCAAAAAAACUCGUGUAUUCCCAAGCACAGAGCAUUUGAUUUAGGCAAAGUUGAGAAAUAACUAACAUAAAUGGUCAAUAAUAGGUCAGUGCAAAAAAGGGUGGUUGAUGGUUUCCGUUUGGCAUCCAUAUAAAUAGCAUCUGUGAUGUAUACAUGAUUUAUCUCAGAUGAUGUGUAUCGUCCAUUUCUAACUCUUUCUAUCUUUGUUUGUUUCUAUUUCCUUUUUACAUACAUCCAUCUAUUGCCUCUCCUGCUAGUUUCCAUCGGUAAAAAUGUUCUAAGUAGUAAAUAGGUUGCACAAAACUUUAUAGUUUGUAUUCAUCCAUGUUUUAACUCUUGCAUCUUUGUUCUUCUCUAUUCUCUUUUCCCACUACCACUACCUCUUUCUAUUGCAUCUCUUGAUAGUCCACAUAAAAGGAACAUCUUUUAAGGAAAGUUAUGUUUUCUUCAAAGGAUAUGGUUGAAACAUGUGAUUGAAUGUUAUACCUGUUGUAUCUCACAUCAGAGAUACCCAUCCGGUUUUAACUCUUGUUAACUUUGUAUUUGUCUAUUUCCCUUUUACCAAUGAUACACUAGUGCUCUCUCUGCCGCAUGUCCUGCUUUUGUCUAUUAGAAAACAUGUUUUCAGCAGUACAUAGGAUGUAUCGCACAUAAAUAUGUACUCAUCCAUUUUCUAUCUCAAUCUCUAUUUUCUCCUUUUUUUGUUCACUUGCUCACUACUACACAACUUGUUGCCACUAUAACCAGGUUCAUCACUAAUUUCACUUAUUGCCAUCUUUGCACCUCUCAAUAUUUAUUUUCCCAUCGUGAUACUGGCUUUCUUAGAAAAAGUUAUCAUUAAAGCCCAUCACAAAUAAUCAUUGAUAAACUACCAUAAACCACCAAUAACAUGCUAUCCUUUGUGAGCCAAAGUCUCCUAACUGACAAAGUUAUGAAAGUUAUUAUGCAUCACUUAAUUGUCAAUCUUAAACAUAAGUUCAAAUGUCCAUAUGCAAUAGUGGCGUAGCCAGGAAGUUUGUUAAAGAUGUUCAAAGUUAGAUGUAAAAAUUUUUUUUUAAUGAAUGGGCGCACCAAAAAUAUAAAUCAAACUAUACAAUAUUUAGCUAAAUGACUUUUAAGAUUUGUUUGUUUGAAAUAAGAUUAAUUAAAAAAAGAAAAAAGAAAAGUCAAACAGAGACAUGUGGUGAAUUGGUACAGGUAGUUUAGCCUUUUAAAAGAGAAAAAAGUUGUCUUUGGGAAUUGAACUUCGGUCUGCAAGACUUUCUGAACAGCCUUCACUACUGGACUACCAUCUCCAAAUAGUCCAACUGUGUUCAAAAUAUCAUAUAUGCUGAUAUAAGAUAGUAUUUCACCUAUAUAUACAGUAUAAUUAUCCGGCGAAAGAUGUUCGCCUGAACACCCUUGGUAGGCUGUAGCUCUGCCCCUGAUGCACAAGCAGGGAAUAUAUUCUACGAAGAGAAGUUAUUGAAGUGUGCAUAAGAAACUGGGUAUUGACUCUGAUUCUCCUAAAGCUAAACCUCGGAUUCUCAAAUUUGCUUGUCGAAUUCACUGAUUCCCUCUCACUGGCAUAAGUUCUUCAAAAUGUGGAUGGUCGUUCCAUCAAGAGAGUACCUUUGUUUCCAUCUUUAGUUGUUCCAUGGAUAUCAAGAAGGAAAGUAAUUAAGAAGCAUGAGGGAAAAUGUAGCAACAUGUUUCUAUCCCUUCAAAUCAUCCUGGAAGAACUUCAGCCUAUUUGACUUGAAGAAUGGUACCAGUAAUUUUAGCAAAGGUAUGUGAUUUGUUUUGAAGUCUCUCUUUUUUGCAUUGAGGCUAAUAUAUUUUACAUCUACUACUCUUUCAUGAUGCUCCCAUGAGUCCAUUUCAUUUUUUAGUUAGUUUUAGACCAUAUAUGUGUAUUCUAUAGUUAAUCUCCUUCUUUGAUAGAAAAUUUGAUUGGAAAAGGAAGGUGUGCCGAUGCUUACAAUGAUUGUUUUCCUGAUGGUCAGCUUGUCGUAGUUAAGCGCUUCAAUAAAGGUACACCAGAGGAAACUAGAACAAAGCUUCCUAUGUGAAAUUGGUACUAUAGCACAUGUAGACCAUCAUAAUACACUUAGAGAAGACCAGAUUAUUUUACCAAAAUUGUAGAUUAUGGAAGAUUUAGUAAUACCAGCUAGUAUAGUACCUGAGGCACAAAAUCUUCCGUAAGUAGAAUAUUAUCAGCUUUGAUAUCACUGUGUAUAAUCCACCUUUGGCAAUUCUCAUGAAGAUAAAGUAGACCAUGUGCUAUUCCAAAAAUUAUUUUGUACCUGGCGGCCCAAUCUAGCUUAUCCCUUGAGCCUGAAAAAAUAGAAAACGGUAAAGUACCUUGUGUUAGAGCAGAAAAGGACGGUUAAUCAAAUACAAUAAAAAAAAAUUGUCUUGUAAUGAGAAACUUUGAGACAAAACAUGACUAAGUGAUCCUAAGCUUCCUUGAGAAGAUAACUGAAGAACAAGAUAUGUGCGUCCUUCCACUCUAUAGUUAACCAUCCUUGCAGUAUUAGGAUGGUCUACAUGUGCUAUAGUACCAAUUUCACAUAGGAAGCUUUGGUCCUGCUCACUUGGAGUACCUUUAAUAAGGCGCUUACCACAACAAGCUGACCAUCGGGCAAGCAACCCUUGUAAACUUUAGCAUAUCCUCCUUUGCCAAUCAAGUUUUCUGCCAAAGAAAGAGAUCAAGUCUGGAAUACACAUUUAUGCUCUAAAGCUUUCUUAAAAAUGAAAUAGAAUCAUGAAAGAGUAGUAGAUGUAGAAAUGUAUUAGCCCGCAUGCAAAAAAGAGAGACAUCAAGCCGGAUUAUAAACCGUUCCUAAAAUUAUUGGUAGCAUUUUUUAGGUCAGAUAGGGUGAAGUUCUUCCAGGAUGAUUUGAAUGGAUCAAGACAUGUCGGUGCAUUUUCCCUCACGCUUCUGCUUUUCCUUCUGGAUGUCUUUGGCACAACUAAAGUUGGAAAAUAAGGUAAUCUUUGGAUAGAACUUCUUUUGCAUAUUUUGAAGAACUUGUGCCAGCGAGAGGAUAUCCGUGGAUUUGACAAACAGAGCUGAGACAUUGAGGGUUUAGCUUUAGGAGAACUGGAGCCAUUCUCCUGGUUUCUAAUUUAUGCUUCAAUAACCUCUUUAGGAGAAGAAUCAUAGUGUUUCUCGUUGUCCAUCUCAAACAAUUUGUUGUCUACAACAAAUGAUAAUCCAUCAGAGGCAAAGCAAAAGAAAAAACAAGCCAUGCACAAUCUCUUUGGAAUACAGCUGAUGUCACCUUGAGCAGAAGCCGAGGAAGAGAUAUUAUUAUUCUGUCCAGCAACAACAACUUUGUUUUCUGAGGUAACGACGUGAUAUCAACAGAGAACAAGUGAGCGAUAUCUUAGCUAAAUGACCAAGGUAGACAGGGAGGAGAGCUUGGCCAGGGUCCUCAGUAGCUGUCAGCUGAUAGAUAGCACUCCAUUGUUCGGAGGUGCUUAUGGCUAUUCUUUUGAUGUACAUUCAUAUAUGCAUGUUUUGGGCAUGACGGAGUCUUUUUCCAUCCAUGUAUUCAUUAUGUUAGUAGAGGCUCGUAAAUACGCAGUGUGGGUUAGAUGGUCUCACAAGAUGUUUUCAUAUGUAUGUAUAUUAUUUUGAUGGCCGAGAGGCAAAUGUAUAUAAAGUAUUUAUGUUUUGAUUAAAUACGAUUUUCCUACAAUUGGUAUGUAAAA